RNAcentral lists this unclassified non-coding RNA (1572 nucleotides) under uncultured Agaricales. Its description in RNAcentral is "sequence contains 18S rRNA gene, ITS1, 5.8S rRNA gene, ITS2, 28S rRNA gene". The stretch from base 599 to 1572 matches the Rfam family "Eukaryotic large subunit ribosomal RNA", at positions 1 to 961 of the family's 3401-position model. The record is from RNAcentral. Lineage: Eukaryota; Fungi; Basidiomycota; Agaricomycetes; Agaricales.
GGAAGGAUCAUUAUUGAAUGUCGCCUUGACAGGCUGUCGCUGGUUGCCCAAAAGGCAGCAUGUGCACGCCUGUCUUGACUUCUAUUCAUCCACCUGUGCACCUUUUGUAGUCUUUGGAGGGCUGGGGAGGAGUGGCUGAUGUCGCUCUGAACCUUCCACCGGGGGCUAUGUUUUUCAUCACAUACUCUACUAGUCACAGAAUGUAGUCAAUGGGCACUUGUGCCUAUACAAAAUCCAUACAACUUUCAGCAACGGAUCUCUUGGCUCUCGCAUCGAUGAAGAACGCAGCGAAAUGCGAUAAGUAAUGUGAAUUGCAGAAUUCAGUGAAUCAUCGAAUCUUUGAACGCACCUUGCGCUCCUUGGCCAUUCCGAGGAGCAUGCCUGUUUGAGUGUCAUUAUAUUCUCAACCCCCACCAGCUUUGCUGGAGAGGGCUUGGAUGUGGAGGUUUUGCUGCUCCGCUUGGGUCCGCUCCUCUGAAAUGCAUUAGCGGAACCGUUUGUGAUCCGUCACAGGUGUGAUAAAUAUCUACGCCAGUGGGUCGCUUUCUGUGUGUUCUGCUCACAACCGUCCGGCAGCGGACAACUGUAAUUGAACGUUUGACCUCAAAUCAGGUAGGACUACCCGCUGAACUUAAGCAUAUCAAUAAGCGGAGGAAAAGAAACUAACAAGGAUUCCCCUAGUAACUGCGAGUGAAGCGGGAAAAGCUCAAAUUUAAAAUCUGGCGGUGUCUGGCCGUCCGAGUUGUAAUCUAGAGAAGUAAUGCCCGUGCUGGACCGUAUACAAGUCUCCUGGGAUGGAGCAUCAUGGAGGGUGAGAAUCCCGUCUCUGAUACGGACUACCAGUGCAUUGUGGUAUGCUCUCAAAGAGUCGAGUUGUUUGGGAAUGCAGCUCAAAAUGGGUGGUAAAUUCCAUCUAAAGCUAAAUAUUGGCGAGAGACCGAUAGCGAACAAGUACCGUGAGGGAAAGAUGAAAAGAACUUUGGAAAGAGAGUUAAACAGUACGUGAAAUUGCUGAAAGGGAAACGCUUGAAGUCAGUCGCGUUGGCCAGGAAUCAGCCUCGCUCUUGCGUGGUGUACUUUCUGGUUGACGGGUCAGCAUCAGUUUUGACCGCUGGAAAAAGGCAUAGGGAAUGUGACAGCUCCGGCUGUGUUAUAGCCCUGUGUCAUAUACGGUGGCUGGGACUGAGGAACGCAGCAUGCCGCAAGGCCGGGUCUUUGACCACGUACGUGCUUAGGAUGCUGGCAUAAUGGCUUUAAGCGACCCGUCUUGAAACACGGACCAAGGAGUCUAACAUGCCUGCAAGUGUUUGGGUGGAAAACUCGAGCGCGCAAUGAAAGUGAAAGUUGAGAUCCCUGUCGUGGGGAGCAUCGACGCCCGGACCAGAACUUUUGGGACGGAUCCGCGGUAGAGCAUGUAUGUUGGGACCCGAAAGAUGGUGAACUAUGCCUGAAUAGGGUGAAGCCAGAGGAAACUCUGGUGGAGGCUCGUAGCGAUUCUGACGUGCAAAUCGAUCGUCAAAUUUGGGUAUAGGGGCGAAAGACUAAUCGAACCAUCUAGUAGCUGGUUCCUGC